RNAcentral lists this unclassified non-coding RNA (1414 nucleotides) under Zea mays. RNAcentral's name for it is "misc RNA Zm00001eb408130". Lineage: Eukaryota; Viridiplantae; Streptophyta; Magnoliopsida; Poales; Poaceae. The record is from RNAcentral.
AGGAAACUAAAACAUUGUCAUCAAAAUUUUAUCAAAUUAAAAAAAAUAGCCGGGACCAAAUAAUUCAAAAAAAAUUGGCUAACAACGUAAAAAAUAUGAAUGCAAAUAUAAAGGCCUUUAUGCAAAAAAAAACCUCCAACGGUAUUUAUUUAUCGACGGACACAACUAGAGCAAACUCUGUUUCCGGGCUUUCGGCACUCUCAUCCGUGUAUCGCUCAACACAAGCCAAGUCAUGCGGGCAUCUCAGCACCACGCACCACCGCAGCCACUGCCGCUCCCUCCGCCUCCGCUGUCUCUCCCGUCACCGUCCGCGGCGCCUCGGCGUGGGCGCCACAGCAGCACCCACUCAUCCUCCUCGUCGUCCUCCUCCUGCAUCUCCGGCCCGUCGCCGUCCUCGGCUCCGUUCCCGCACGCCAGCACCACCUCCUCGCUCGUGCCAUUCUCGUGGGAGCGCCACGCGGGCGUGCCCAAGAACUCGUCCCGUCACCCGUGGCGGGCCGCCUCGCCCACGUGCACCCCGCUGCCGCCGCCGCCGCCGCUCCGCCCGGCCCCUCGACGCCGGCGCGCCAAGGCCCCGGCCACGUCGUCCUCCGACGCCAAGGAGGACCCCUUCGUCGCCGCCUUCGCCGAGUGCACCAGGGACGACGACUACGCUGCCGACGUCGACGGCGACAGCAACAAGCUCGCGCCGGUGCCGGCGAAGAAGGCAGCGGUGGUGUCACCAGGCCGCGCCGAGCGCCGGAGGUGGAUGGCCGGCGGCGGCGGGCUCGUGGCCUUCCUCGACAUGCACGGGUGCAAGAGCGCCAUGGAUGUCGUCGUCGCUGACGGCACCUUCCAGCCCCGCGCCGGCUCGUCGCUGCUGCGAAUCAUCGAUCCCAGGCCGCGCCGGCCCGGGGAGCCCCAACCCCAAGCUAAGUAACAUAACAGAGGCGCCAAUCUGAUCAAACUUUAUUAUAUUACAGUGAUUAUUGUAGCAUCAUUCAAGGCAUAUAGGACUAUAGAUAUGUUAUGGAUCAGACGAAUUGAAGGAUUGAGAACGCUCUGCUGAAGGAGGAUUGGAUUGGGAAUCGGAUCAACCUCCAGGCUCAGCUCCAUCUCCUGAACUGGUGUUAAUUCCGCUGUUGACGUUCUUGGGAAGUGGGAACACUGGAAUUCGUGAUCAGACUGAGACGGCAGAAGAUAUGUAUGUGCUCCAUCUUUUGAGCAUGCACCAUGCGGAACCGGAGCGCACAAUCUGGCAUUUGUAUUGUACUCCUACUCCUACAGAAGGAUGGAGCUCUUUCCUACCAUCGACGACGUCACCAGUAUAGGUGCCAUGUACAUGUCACUCCAUAACUCGGCAACAGUUUUGGCGCGCAUUGUACCAUAUGAAUAGUGGCCGUCUCGUCUCACUGAAUAGUAGGAGUACGUUGUU